AGUGAACGCUGGCGGUAGGCCUAACACAUGCAAGUCGAACGGCAGCACAGUAAGAGCUUGCUCUUACGGGUGGCGAGUGGCGGACGGGUGAGGAAUACAUCGGAAUCUACUUUUUCGUGGGGGAUAACGUAGGGAAACUUACGCUAAUACCGCAUACGACCUACGGGUGAAAGCAGGGGAUCUUCGGACCUUGCGCGAUUGAAUGAGCCGAUGUCGGAUUAGCUAGUUGGCGGGGUAAAGGCCCACCAGGGUGACGAUCCGUAGCUGGUCUGAGAGGAUGAUCAGCCACACUGGAACUGAGACACGGUCCAGACUCCUACGGGAGGCAGCAGUGGGGAAUAUUGGACAAUGGGCGCAAGCCUGAUCCAGCCAUACCGCGUGGGUGAAGAAGGCCUUCGGGUUGUAAAGCCCUUUUGUUGGGAAAGAAAAGCAGCAGGUUAAUACCCCGCUGUUCUGACGGUACCCAAAGAAUAAGCACCGGCUAACUUCGUG
Molecule: ribosomal RNA, 492 nt
Filed under: uncultured bacterium
Lineage: Bacteria
Description: partial 16S ribosomal RNA
Rfam family: Bacterial small subunit ribosomal RNA
Source: RNAcentral